Molecule: ribosomal RNA, 253 nt
Filed under: uncultured bacterium
Lineage: Bacteria
Description: partial 16S ribosomal RNA
Rfam family: Bacterial small subunit ribosomal RNA
Source: RNAcentral
UACGGAGGGUGCGAGCGUUAAUCGGAAUUACUGGGCGUAAAGCGCACGUAGGCGGUUUGAUAAGUCAGAUGUGAAAUCCCCGGGCUCAACCUGGGAACGGCAUUUGAUACUGUCUGACUGGAGUGUGGUAGAGGAAAGUGGAAUUCCGCAUGUAGCGGUGAAAUGCGUAGAUAUGCGGAGGAACACCAGUGGCGAAGGCGACUUUCUGGACCAACACUGACGCUGAGGUGCGAAAGCGUGGGGAGCAAACAGG